This 305-nucleotide ribosomal RNA is filed under the name uncultured bacterium. Its description in RNAcentral is "bacterial SSU rRNA". It matches the Rfam family "Bacterial small subunit ribosomal RNA", at positions 335 to 658 of the family's 1533-position model. The record is from RNAcentral.
UGCUUACGGGAGGCAGCAGUGGGGAAUAUUGCACAAUGGGGGGAACCCUGAUGCAGCGACGCCGCGUGGGCGAUGGAGUAUUUCGGUAUGUAAAGCCCUAUCGGCAGGGAAGAAACUGACAGUACCUGACUAAGAAGCCCCGGCUAACUACGUGCCAGCAGCCGCGGUAAUACGUAGGGGGCAAGCGUUAUCCGGAUUUACUGGGUGUAAAGGGAGCGUAGACGGCCAGACAAGUCUGAAGUGAAAAUCCAGCGCUUAACGUUGGAAGUGCUUUGGAAACUGCCGGGCUGGAGUGCAGGAGGGGG